This 521-nucleotide ribosomal RNA is filed under the name uncultured delta proteobacterium. RNAcentral describes it as "bacterial SSU rRNA". It matches the Rfam family "Bacterial small subunit ribosomal RNA", at positions 29 to 523 of the family's 1533-position model. Lineage: Bacteria; Deltaproteobacteria. The record is from RNAcentral.
AACAAACGCUGGCGGCGUGCAUAACACAUGCAAGUCUAACGGGAAUGUCGGCUUCGGCUGACUAGUACCGUGGCGAACGGGUGAGUAACACGUGGGUAAUCUAACCUCGAGUUUGGGAUAACCUUGCGAAAGCGAGGCUAAUACCGAAUAAGACCACGCCCUGCACGCAGGGUGCGGUAAAAGGUGGCCUCUUCCUGAAAGCUAUCACUUGAGGAUGAGCCCGCGGCCUAUUAGCUAGUUGGUAGGGUAACGGCCUACCAAGGCGACGAUGGGUAGCCGGCCUGAGAGGGUGUACGGCCACACUGGCACUGAGAUACGGGCCAGACUCCUACGGGAGGCAGCAGUGGGGAAUUUUGCGCAAUGGGGGAAACCCUGACGCAGCAACGCCGCGUGAGUGAUGAAGGCCUUCGGGUCGUAAAGCUCUUUUAGUGGGGAAGAAGCCCUCCGGGACUAAUACUCCCGGGGUCUGACGGUACCCGCAGAAAAAGUUCCGGCUAACUACGUGCCAGCAGCCGCGGUAA